This 497-nucleotide ribosomal RNA is filed under the name uncultured bacterium. Its description in RNAcentral is "partial 16S ribosomal RNA". It matches the Rfam family "Bacterial small subunit ribosomal RNA", at positions 28 to 507 of the family's 1533-position model. The record is from RNAcentral.
GAUGAACGCUGGCGGCGUGCCUAAUACAUGCAAGUCGAGCGAACAGACGAGGAGCUUGCUCCUCUGACGUUAGCGGCGGACUGGUGAGUAACACGUGGAUAACCUACCUAUAAGACUGGGAUAACUUCGGGAAACCGGAGCUAAUACCGGAUAAUAUAUUGAACCGCAUGGUUCAAUAGUGAAAGACGGUUUUGCUGUCACUUAUAGAUGGAUCCGCGCCGCAUUAGCUAGUUGGUAAGGUAACGGCUUACCAAGGCGACGAUGCGUAGCCGACCUGAGGGGGUGAUCGGCCACACUGGAACUGAGACACGGUCCAGACUCCUACGGGAGGCAGCAGUAGGGAAUCUUCCGCAAUGGGCGAAAGCCUGACGGAGCAACGCCGCGUGAGUGAUGAAGGUCUUCGGAUCGUAAAACUCUGUUAUUAGGGAAGAACAAAUGUGUAAGUAACUAUGCACGUCUUGACGGUACCUAAUCAGAAAGCCACGGCUAACUACGUG